This is a non-coding RNA of Pelobates cultripes (western spadefoot toad), 547 nucleotides long. The record is from the annotation of a GenBank genome assembly. Lineage: Eukaryota; Metazoa; Chordata; Amphibia; Anura; Pelobatidae.
GUCCUCUUCCCAUAACUCCUUGCUUUUCUUGCUGAAACCAACUGUUAGCCCCACCAAAGGACCAUUUUGUCCAUUUCAUUCUUGUUAACAAAAUAUGUGGAUAGAAUACAAAGGUCUUUGUUGUCUAUAAGACCAACAUGACCAUUAGAUUUAGUUCAAGACCAUUAAAUAAGGUUCAAACAACCUGAAAUAUAUAAAAAGGGAAAAAGAAAUGAGCUGGAUAUAACAAAAAACACUCCUUACGGGGGUAACCCUGGAAAUUGAAUUAGCAAAAGGAAAAAAGAAGAGUGGAGUGUCUUUUACACAAGAUAUAGGGAAGAGUAGAUACUGGUAGUUGUAAGGAGAAGAGAGAUCAGUAGCUAUGCCAGUGGUGAUAGUCUGAUGAAGAUGCAAACAUAAUUAUAACUACAAAUAGAGACGUAAAGAGUAAUACAAACCUACCUCCACUGAAACUAUAGCCCUAUUUGUGCCUUCAAGUGCACCUAGAGAAAUUCUCAAUACUAAUGCUGUUGCUAAAGUUCCUAUAACACUAUAAUGCGGGUCCUAU